GACUGUCCGUGCGUGUGCGUCUUUGGCCCGGGGCCGUGUGCUUGCGUGAAGACACCGGCGUCAGGGGCGGGGGAGUACGGUAUCGCGCAAGGCUUGCAGGGCAGGGCACGACCACGCGGGCACCCGGGCCACGAGUGCAGGUCA
Molecule: non-coding RNA, 144 nt
Filed under: uncultured Isochrysis
Lineage: Eukaryota; Haptophyta; Isochrysidales
Source: RNAcentral